GGUUCAUUCAAAUUUCUGCCCUAUCAACUUUCGAUUGUUGUGUAUUGGACAACAAUGGUGAUAACGGGUAACGGAGGGUUAGGGCUCGACCCCGGAGAAGGAGCCUGAGAAACGGCUACUACAUCCAAGGAAGGCAGCAGGCGCGCAAAUUACCCAAUCCCGACCGGGGAGGUAGUGACAAUAAAUACUGAUACAGGGCUCUUUUGGGUCUUGUAAUUGGAAUGAGUACAAUUUAAAUCCCUUAACGAGGAACAAUUGGAGGGCAAGUCUGGUGCCAGCAGCCGCGGUAAUUCCAGCUCCAAUAGCGUAUAUUAAAGUUGUUGUGGUUAAAAAGCUCGUAGUUG
This 344-nucleotide ribosomal RNA is filed under the name uncultured fungus. RNAcentral describes it as "SSU rRNA". It matches the Rfam family "Eukaryotic small subunit ribosomal RNA", at positions 292 to 636 of the family's 1831-position model. The record is from RNAcentral. Lineage: Eukaryota; Fungi.